Molecule: long non-coding RNA, 670 nt
Organism: Anguilla rostrata (American eel)
Lineage: Eukaryota; Metazoa; Chordata; Actinopteri; Anguilliformes; Anguillidae
Exons: 2
Source: RefSeq, a predicted model, not a curated record
UUGUAAUGACAGAUCAUGUGAUGGAGAUUGUGGUAGCAGAACAGGGCGGAAGAUUGUGACUAAGUGCUGUUUCUCUUUCUCCGCGUGGUCUUUAAGCCAAUAAGGGGCUCUUUUCAAGGAAGGCAGGGCCCAACACGCAGUUCGUAUCUCACCUACAGGAUGGGGCGACCCUGAUUUUGGUGCCCCUCACCAAGACCCGUGUGGAUCUGGCAGGUCACUCAAAACCGAGCUGGCGGUGCAGAACACACACGCUAAAAAAGGCACUGUGAGGACAGCUGUCACUCUGAAACGGCUCAAGAGUUCCACAGCCGAAACGUUCCACAGCCGAAAUCAUUUCUGAGAGACUCCACGGUGAACAGUUUGCAACAGAACAAUUAUGUGAGACAUUUGGGUCAUUGGAUUCUUUGUGCUAAAUGUCUUGGACCAAUCACAGCACUGGAAGAUCAGCAGCAUGAAUUAAUAGAAUCUUAUUAACCCAUUAAGGUGCAAGAUCACAAAUAUGUUAUUGGAAUGCUUGUGACUGAACAUUCGGAUGCUGGUGUAAGAAUAGCUGCCUUUAAUUGAAAGCAAUGAAGUUCUAGAACUCCAAUUUAGAAUUAAAAAAAAAAAAACAUUCCAGAAAGUCUACUCUUCUUUUUUUUGACAUUUUAUCCCCAGUUUAGUCGUUAUA